RNAcentral lists this ribosomal RNA (129 nucleotides) under Zoanthus kuroshio. Its description in RNAcentral is "partial 18S ribosomal RNA". It matches the Rfam family "Eukaryotic small subunit ribosomal RNA", at positions 1721 to 1831 of the family's 1831-position model. The record is from RNAcentral. Lineage: Eukaryota; Metazoa; Cnidaria; Anthozoa; Zoantharia; Zoanthidae.
GGCGCCGCCGCCUCGGCCCUCGUCGGCGGGACAGCGGACCCCUGCCGAAAAGUUGGUCAAACUUGAGCAUUUAGAGGAAGUAAAAGUCGUAACAAGGUUUCCGUAGGUGAACCUGCGGAAGGAUCAUUA